Molecule: long non-coding RNA, 1002 nt
Filed under: Sus scrofa (pig)
Lineage: Eukaryota; Metazoa; Chordata; Mammalia; Artiodactyla; Suidae
Description: lncRNA (ENSSSCG00065018050.1)
Source: RNAcentral
GGUUAAGCCAACAUUGGAUGCCAUGCCUUCCUGCAAGGGGAGUGAUUUUAACUAUGGCUAGAUUUGGUCCAUUAACGCUCCGUGAAGGAUUUGGGGUCUGUGUUCCUGAGGCUUAUCGGGCCAUGGCUUCUUUUCUUGUGAUGCCUUUGGCUGGAUUAUCCAGAUAAUUCUUCACCGAAUGAAUCGAGCUGCAGUCCCUCCGCUUCAGUUUUCGGAGUGGUUUGUGAAAGUUCCUUGGGCGGCGAAGGCCCGACCCCACCAGCUGUUUACAAUCCAUCAUCCAGCAGUUUCCAUGUGGUUGUCAUGCUGCUUGUGACGGGAAAGAGAAUCUCGGUGUCCAAAUACUGGACUUGCAGCUUCAUAAAUCAGGAAGCUCUCGCCAUUCAAAUCAUCAUAUUGACAGCAAAUUUGCAUAAUUUUCCUAGUUUGCUUUGCGGUUGAGGUCAGGUCUCUCCUGUUCUCAGUGGGUGGCCCCUGGGAAGCGGCCAAGUGGGGGCCUUAAACUGGGGGGGCAUCAGAGGCGCUUGGAGGGGUGAGAGAAGCCUGGGCGGAUGUGUGUGGGGGGUCUCUCUGGGGAGCAGCUUGCCAGGCCUCAGUGACAAUGCCUACCCACGGUGGCACAGCCCAGGAGAGCUGGGGUCUUCCCCGGAGACAGCAGGGACCUUCCUCCAGAGCAGGGUCUCAUGCCAACUGAUAAAUGGGCAGAGGCCAAAAGCGGGUAGUUCAGAGCUGUGACAUCCAAAUGGCUACUACGUAUAUGAAAAAUGAUUUUCUCACCAGGAAUCAGAAAUGCAAAGCCAAGCAAUACGGCCCUCGUGUGUCAUCCUCUGGGCUGAUGGUGUGACGGCCGAGAGCCUUGUUCAGCUCUGCCUCCUGGGACGGAACCGGCCGGUGUCCUUCCACACACUCCUUUGGGCCUGUCCACGCUGCUCUUGUCAAGCUGUCCCCAGGACAACGGAAAUGGACAACAGCGCUGCGCCUCUCGUGGCGCUGCGUGUCAUC